This 508-nucleotide ribosomal RNA is filed under the name uncultured bacterium. Its description in RNAcentral is "bacterial SSU rRNA". It matches the Rfam family "Bacterial small subunit ribosomal RNA", at positions 37 to 518 of the family's 1533-position model. The record is from RNAcentral.
UGGCGGCGUGCCUAAUACAUGCAAGUCGAACGGUCUUUCUAUGGAAGCUUGCUUCCACUGAGAAGAUAGUGGCGAACGGGUGAGUAACACGUGGGUAACCUGCCCAUAAGAGGGGGAUAACAUCCGGAAACGGGUGCUAAUACCGCAUAGUUUUCUUGAUCGCAUGAUUGAGAAAGGAAAGACGGCCUUUGUGCUGUCGCUUAUGGAUGGACCCGCGGCGUAUUAGUUAGUUGGUGAGGUAACGGCUCACCAAGACGAUGAUACGUAGCCGACCUGAGAGGGUGAUCGGCCACAUUGGGACUGAGACACGGCCCAAACUCCUACGGGAGGCAGCAGUAGGGAAUCUUCCGCAAUGGACGAAAGUCUGACGGAGCAACGCCGCGUGAGUGAAAGAAGGUUUUCGGAUCGUAAAACUCUGUUGUCAGAGAAGAACAAGUUGGAGAGUAACUGCUCCAGCCUUGACGGUAUCUGACCAGAAAGCCACGGCUAACUACGUGCCAGCCGCCGC